CGGGUGAGUAACACGUGAGUGACCUGCCUUUUAGACUGGAACAACUUACCGAAAGGUGAGCUAAUGCCGGAUGAGUUAUAUAAGUGCAUGUUUAUAUAGGAAAAGUUGGGAGACCUGACGCUGAAAGAUGGACUCGCGUCCCAUUAGCUAGUUGGUAGGGUAAUGGCCCACCAAGGCGACGAUGGGUAGCCGGCCUGAGAGGGUGGCCGGCCACACUGGGACUGAGACACGGCCCAGACUCCUACGGAAGGCAGCAG
This 257-nucleotide ribosomal RNA is filed under the name uncultured bacterium. RNAcentral describes it as "partial 16S ribosomal RNA". It matches the Rfam family "Bacterial small subunit ribosomal RNA", at positions 103 to 354 of the family's 1533-position model. The record is from RNAcentral.